This 372-nucleotide ribosomal RNA is filed under the name uncultured organism. RNAcentral describes it as "bacterial SSU rRNA". It matches the Rfam family "Bacterial small subunit ribosomal RNA", at positions 526 to 896 of the family's 1533-position model. The record is from RNAcentral.
CGUAGGGUCCGAGCGUUGUCCGGAAUUAUUGGGCGUAAAGGGCUCGUAGGCGGUUCGUCACGUCGGGAGUGAAAACUCGGAGCUCAACUCCGAGCCUGCUUCCGAUACGGGCAGACUAGAGGUAGGCAGGGGAGAGCGGAACUCCUGGUGUAGCGGUGGAAUGCGCAGAUAUCAGGAAGAACACCGGUGGCGAAGGCGGCUCUCUGGGCCUUACCUGACGCUGAGGAGCGAAAGCGUGGGUAGCGAACAGGAUUAGAUACCCUGGUAGUCCACGCCGUAAACGUUGGGCGCUAGGUGUGGGGACAUUCCACGUCCUCCGUGCCGCAGCUAACGCAUUAAGCGCCCCGCCUGGGGAGUACGGCCGCAAGGCUA